Molecule: non-coding RNA, 27 nt
Filed under: Homo sapiens (human)
Lineage: Eukaryota; Metazoa; Chordata; Mammalia; Primates; Hominidae
Source: RNAcentral
UCCAACUCUCUCAUCAUUUUCGUUUCC